AACGAACGCUGGCGGCAUGCCUAACACAUGCAAGUCGAACGAGACCUUCGGGUCUAGUGGCGCACGGGUGCGUAAUGCGUGGGAACCUGCCCUUAGGUUCGGAGUAACUCCCCGAAAGGGGUGCUAAUACCGGAUAAUGUCUUCGGACCAAAGAUUUAUCGCCUUUGGAUGGGCCCGCGUUGGAUUAGCUAGUUGGUAGGGUAAAAGCCUACCAAGGCGACGAUCCAUAGCUGGUCUGAGAGGAUGAUCAGCCACACUGGGACUGAGACACGGCCCAGACUCCUACGGGAGGCAGCAGUGGGGAAUAUUGGACAAUGGGCGAAAGCCUGAUCCAGCAAUGCCGCGUGAGUGAUGAAGGCCUUAGGGUUGUAAAGCUCUUUUACCCGGGAUGAUAAUGACAGUACCGGGAGAAUAAGCUCCGGCUAACUCCGUG
This 433-nucleotide ribosomal RNA is filed under the name uncultured bacterium. RNAcentral's name for it is "partial 16S ribosomal RNA". It matches the Rfam family "Bacterial small subunit ribosomal RNA", at positions 29 to 507 of the family's 1533-position model. The record is from RNAcentral.